Molecule: long non-coding RNA, 1032 nt
Organism: Toxorhynchites rutilus septentrionalis
Lineage: Eukaryota; Metazoa; Arthropoda; Insecta; Diptera; Culicidae
Exons: 3
Source: RefSeq, a predicted model, not a curated record
UGGAAUGUUUUGAGAAAGCGAAAGUUCAAGUUAAAGCGUUGUUUAAAUCUCUAUUUUAUUUGGUGGUAAUAUUUCGGAAUAGUAUUAUUACUAUUAUCAGUAGUAUUCCAUCCGUGCAGUAAACGGAAAAGGAACAAAUAUCGAAGUGUUGACUGCAUAUCUGCUGAGGUCGUAGAUCAGAUACCGCGAGCCUGAAUAACAAGUAGGCAACUAGAAGAGAGUGUUUUUCUCACCUCGGGUCGCGGUAACAACCAUCAUCAGCGAUGGAGAUCGAUCCACGGUCGAAAUAAGAUCGAUUCAUCCAUACAACUGCUCUGCUCUGCAAGAAACAUCGGGCUGCUGUUCUAUAAAUAACCCAACAAUGAUCAAUAUCUACUGUCUCCGCUGUUUGGUCUGCUGAACAAAGGAAGAACAGAAAGAAUACCCUUACGCCUAAAUGGCUACUACUGUGUAAUUUACCAUAAUGUAAUGGAACAGAAAAACCCAACGCCUAAAUGGCUACUUAACUACUGUGUAAUUUACAAUUUAUAGAAACAUAAACAUAUGUACAUGUACACGAUUAAACCCGGCUCUGUAACAGCUAAAAUUCUAACGAGCCUAAUAAAUAAAUAAAUGGGAUAAAAAAAUUUUAAAAAAAAAUCUCGAGCAUCAUCAGAAAUUUUGAUCGACGUAUUUUAAUCAGCUACUGAUAAACGAUUAAGUGCGAUUUUAGACACCCUCCCCCUCCUCCGUGGACAAGCGUGUACAUUUCCUAUACCGCUCCCCUUGUAGGCCACCAUUUUUGGUUUUAAGUUUGUUUCUAUUUCCUUUUCUUUAUUUUUUAUUGAAAAAAUUAUAGGAGGUUGUGUCCAAGGUACGACCGAAUUGUUGACGUAGAACUAGGCUGUUAUUUUAUAUAAGUCGCUUGUUUAUACCUUCGGAUAUUAUUCUAUAAUGCUGUGAAAUUUUAGAAACAACCCAGCAAACAUUAAAUCGUAUAAUUUUGCACGUGCCAAGUCUUACAAGAAAUCCGAAUAAAUCAUAAUCGCAUAU